GCCGGGCAUGGUGGUGCGUGCCUGUAAUCCUAGCUACUUGGGAGGCUGAGGUGGGAGAAUUGCUUGAGCCUGGGAGGCAGAGGUUGCAGUGAGCUGAGAUUACGCCACUACACUCCAGCCUGGGCGACAGAGUGAAACUCCAUCUCAA
This is an unclassified non-coding RNA of Macaca mulatta (Rhesus monkey), 148 nucleotides long. It matches the Rfam family "Metazoan signal recognition particle RNA". Rfam says of the family: The signal recognition particle (SRP) is a universally conserved ribonucleoprotein. The record is from Ensembl. Lineage: Eukaryota; Metazoa; Chordata; Mammalia; Primates; Cercopithecidae.